This 379-nucleotide ribosomal RNA is filed under the name uncultured bacterium. RNAcentral's name for it is "bacterial SSU rRNA". It matches the Rfam family "Bacterial small subunit ribosomal RNA", at positions 28 to 415 of the family's 1533-position model. The record is from RNAcentral.
GACGAACGCUGGCGGCGUGCUUAACACAUGCAAGUCACGGGGGCUGGAGCGAAUCCAGUAACCGGCGAACGGGUGCGUAACACGUGAGCAACCUGCCGUACUCAGGGGGAUAGCCGGCCCAACGGCCGGGUAAUACCGCAUACGUUCUCGCAGGGGAGUCCCUGUGGGAGGAAACCUCCGGGGGAGUACGAGGGGCUCGCGGCCUAUCAGCUAGUUGGUGCGGUAACGGCGCACCAAGGCGACGACGGGAGCUGGUCUGAGAGGAUGGCCAGCCGACAUUGGGACUGAGAGACGGCCCAGACUCCUACGGGAGGCAGCAGUGGGAAUCUUGCGCAAUGGCCGAAAGGCUGACGCAGCGACGCCGCGUGGGGAUGAAGCA